GGGGAAAAGGAAGAAAGGCGGUGCUCCAUCAACUGGGAGGAGUUGUAUAAGCCAAAUAUGCAAAACGAGGGGUUGGACAAUCCUUUCUCAGAACCUGAAGUUUGGGCUGCUAUCAUGGCAUCUCCAUCAGAGAAAGUGCCAGGCCCCGACGGCUUCUCAGGAACUUUCUUUAGAGCUUGCUGG
Molecule: ribosomal RNA, 183 nt
Filed under: Triticum aestivum (bread wheat)
Lineage: Eukaryota; Viridiplantae; Streptophyta; Magnoliopsida; Poales; Poaceae
Description: partial small subunit ribosomal RNA
Source: RNAcentral